AGCAGUCUGCAACUCGACUGCACGAAGCUGGAAUCGCUAGUAAUCGCGGAUCAGCACGCCGCGGUGAAUACGUUCCCGGGCCUUGUACACACCGCCCGUCACACCAUGGAAGUCUGCAAUGCCCGAAGCCGGUGGCCUAACCACUUAUGUGGAAGGAGCCGUCUAAGGUAGGGCAGAUGACUGGGGUGAAGUCGUAACAAGGUACC
RNAcentral lists this ribosomal RNA (206 nucleotides) under uncultured bacterium. Its description in RNAcentral is "partial 16S ribosomal RNA". It matches the Rfam family "Bacterial small subunit ribosomal RNA", at positions 1299 to 1500 of the family's 1533-position model. The record is from RNAcentral.